GUGGGGAAUCUUGCGCAAUGGGCGAAAGCCUGACGCAGCCAUGCCGCGUGAAUGAUGAAGGUCUUAGGAUUGUAAAAUUCUUUCACCGGGGACGAUAAUGACGGUACCCGGAGAAGAAGCUCCGGCUAACUUCGUGCCAGCAGCCGCGGUAAUACGAAGGGGGCUAGCGUUGCUCGGAAUUACUGGGCGUAAAGGGCGCGUAGGCGGACAGCUUAGUCAGAGGUGAAAGCCCAGGGCUCAACCUUGGAAUUGCCUUUGAUACUGGCUGUCUUGAGUUUGGGAGAGGUGAGUGGAACUCCGAGUGUAGAGGUGAAAUUCGUAGAUAUUCGGAAGAACACCAGUGGCGAAGGCGACUCACUGGCCCAAUACUGACGCUGAGGCGCGAAAGCGUGGGGAGCAAACAGGAUUAGAUACCUGUGUAGUCC
RNAcentral lists this ribosomal RNA (425 nucleotides) under uncultured bacterium. RNAcentral describes it as "partial 16S ribosomal RNA". It matches the Rfam family "Bacterial small subunit ribosomal RNA", at positions 354 to 796 of the family's 1533-position model. The record is from RNAcentral.